Molecule: ribosomal RNA, 253 nt
Filed under: uncultured bacterium
Lineage: Bacteria
Description: partial 16S ribosomal RNA
Rfam family: Bacterial small subunit ribosomal RNA
Source: RNAcentral
UACGAAGGGUGCAAACGUUGCUCGGAAUUAUUGGGCGUAAAGCGCACGUAGGCGGCAUUGCAAGUCGGAUGUGAAAUCCCUCGGCUUAACCAAGGAAGUGCAUCCGAAACUGCAGUGCUUGAGUACUUAAGAGGAUCGCGGAAUUCCCGGUGUAGAGGUGAAAUUCGUAGAUAUCGGGAGGAACACCAGUGGCGAAGGCGGCGUUCUGGACUGCAACUGACACUGAUAAACGAAAGCCAGGGUAGCAAACGGG